AUCCACCACCCUUCACAAGCAAUCACUCAAACACAUAUAGGCCAACGUCAGGCCUACACUAACAAAAUACACAUCAAGCCUAAUCCGGUACCUAAGCCAGACUUAGGACUUAAUGUCAGAACCUGCAAGCAAAAUCAAUCAACCACAAACACAAUCAUAAGACUAUGAAUAUCUACGACUCGAUCUAACUCGUAACACCGUAUAUCGGUGCUACACUAACUCGAGGGUUCUAUAACCCUCUACGACACACUAACACAACACUCUAACCUGGGCCCUGGUGACUUAGUGUUCCUCCUCCCUAUCGGCAAUAUCCUAUCUUCCUACCACAAAGGCCGGAAGAAGGAACUUUCAACCGACCGCGGCCCACAGUCAUUCGGGUCACCGCGCGACAGCCCACAGUCCUUCGGGUCACUGUCCCAUUACACCGUCGUGUAAUACUCAGCCAUAGUACAUGACACCGUUCGUCUGAGUCUUCCCGAUCCAGCGAAUAAGGGGUUUCCUUGAACCCGCUGGGUACGAGGCCGAGGAAACACUAAUCAACCCCAAACAAGCCUAAUAUGGGCGGGUUACGCACAUACUGCCGGCACACUCACACAACACAAACUCAAUCUAGAACCUAACAUAAUGAUAAAGUUCUAGACACUAACCAGACACUUAACUCUACAACACAAACCAAUAGUACCAGUAGUCCGACCUAUAUGGCCAAAGACCCUUAGUACUAACUACUAAACAAUAAUAUCAAUACUAAACAAUAUAAUCAAACCGUUACCCAGAUAGUCCAGCCUCCCGCUGAGAAACUAUCUUUAAAGAUAACGGGAACCUGCACUGAACAAUAUCAACACGCAAGAAUAGAAAACAUGAUGCAUCCUAGCCCUAGCCCUAGUCAGGUUAUUAACUCAGUCUUAAUUCCAUUCAUCUCAGCUUAGCCCUUGCUAAACUGAGUCCGGUUCCAUAAAUAAAAUAACCCUAAGGACUCUACCAUUCAAUAGCGUGAUAAUUCUAAUCUAUAUGCAGACUCGAUCUACCCUAAAUUCCAAGUGGAAUUCAAACAAACCAACUCACAAAACUAUCCUAAAUUCCAAGUGGAAUUCAAACAAACCAACUCACAAAACUACCCUAAAUUCCAAGUGGAAUUCACACAAGCCAACUCACAGUGUUCUAGGCGAGAAGCUGCUGGUUGAUCGGAGAGGACUUGGCCAAAACCCAAGGGACGCCUUGACUGGACUGGACUGGACUGAUCUUGACUUGUACAGAACCUCCCCUGAUACUGGUCUGGACUGAACUCAAAUCGAACAGCACCUUCCUUAGCUUCUGAACAAUUCUUCCGAAAUCUGAACAGAGUAUCGAACCAUAACCUCAACUGAACUGAUACCAUGGAACUGAAAUGAUCUUGGACAGCACCUCCACUUGAUCAUCAAAGAAUAUGAGUAGAGUGGACAGAUUGACUUGGGCAGAGCUUCCGCAUAACAAUUUGCAGAAAUUCUUCGAUUGGACAGAACUUCGCUUCUUGGUGAAGUAUCGAUCUUCGGAACUCAGCUACACUCUCUUUCUCUCUUUCUCUCUAACCACGUUGACUUGCUUCCCAUCUGAAUCGAUAUUAAAUUGGUUGAUCUUAAGUUGGCCAGAACCUUCCCUAGGCGCUGACUUGAAAUCAGUAGAAUAAUUGUUCUCGAAAACUGCCGAAAAGACUCGAAAACGAUCGAAACUCGAACUUUCUUUCUCUAGCUUUCUCUCUCACGUUUUUCUCUGAGUUUCAGGUGUUCUGGAUGGUUUGAAAUGAGCUGGGGUCGUGGGGUAUUUAUAGGAUACACCAGCCAAUCAGUUUCAGGUUGGUGGCAGCCCGUGUGUCGCUCCGCAUGGCUCCGGACGCAUGCACGGCGACACCUCGUGCUCCACUUGGCUGGCUGCAUGUCCAGGACACAUGCAGGACGCCACCACUCCUCCCAGAUAUCAGGCUGCAUGACUGGAGCUCAUGCAAGGCGCCACACAUCCUCACACAUGUCGAUCAGCAUUCUUCGGUUGCAUGCGUUGCGACAUCUCGUGCUUGGCCGAUCCACCUCGUGCUUCUACAUGUCAAGCUGCAUGUGCAGCUUCCAUGCACGUAUACACCUCCUCCUUGUGUUGACACUCAGCUGCUGAUGUGAUAGACAGAACGUCCUGGUCAAAUGCAUAGAGACACCUCGAGCUUCUUGGUCGGUAUAUGCGAUUUUUGACCCUUCCGGCAUAUUUUCAUCCCGCGAACAAUCCCGAAUAUUUUUCCGCUCCCGUUCUGAUGAGCUAAUUAUUCUUCAGAGACUCCAAAAUAUUUCUGACCUUGAUGAAAAAUAUUUCCUGAGCCUCCGGCCUCCUCGAAGAAUUUCGUAAUACCGAAAUUAGGGUUUUCGCCCAACUUCGGGUUUUCCCGUCGUGCUUCAAUCCCGUCGUGCUUGCUUCCCGUCCUGCUUAAUUCCCGUCCUGCUUCCGACUUAUAAUGUCUUCAGAAUAAUAGUUUACUGAUACGAAGAUAUUCCGAGAAAACUUCGCGAUGAAGAAACGUCAAUCUUCAAAAACGUCGAGCUUCUAAACCGUCGUGCUUCCAAAAAUGUGAUUCUUCCAAAAUCUUCGUCUGAUCAAUCUAAGACUCUUCUAAGAAAGGUAGAGCAGCUUAAUAUGUCUCAUGGUUCACUCACGAUCCACUGUCCUUUUGGAGCAUUUUGCGGAGAACACUCAAGACGAACAGUCCCGAGACUGUUCUCAAGCAGAACAAGCAGACGGAGUGAUCCCGAGGUUGUUCCCGACAGAUAAGGAAGCUUCUAUUUUCGGGAAUUAAGGCCUUGUUGCCCUAAUUUCUUUUCUACCUAUUGGCGCCUCCAUAUAAAGACGCCACCUAUCCUAUUUUAUUUCUUACGCUAGUUUUUACAAGAGAACUAUUAGCUUUUGCGAUCUGCAACUUGUAAGGGAGAAGAAUCCAUUCUCUCAUAGAGAAGACCAUCUGAACCUUGUUUACUACUCUUAUUAUUAUGCAGUUUCAUUCAGUAUCUAUGUCUUUGAUUGCUUGCAUCAUGAUUGAGUAGUGAUCUAGCUCGCCUAGGGUUUUUAGGGUGUUGAAAUAUGAGCUAAACAUAGAUAAGCUAUUCUUGAUUAUUCUUCAUCCAUACUAUUCUUAAGGCUUCCAUUAACCUGAUCACUUGAUGUUAGAUCCUAAGUUUAUCGCCUAGCUAACCGCUUAGGAGAAAGCUUGACAUGUAUUGGAUGAGCUUAGUAUCCCUAAUCAGCGAAAGUAGAUAUUAGGGUAGUAAGUGAACUGAUCGGACCUGACCUCUAAGGCUUGCAGUCGUUUCUCAUCUCAACGACAGUUAGAUGAUGGGAUCGACCAGCAAAGAGAUCACCACCACGACAGUGGGGUGUUCCAGCUGAGUGAUCCGAGUUCUAGAAAGUACUGCACCGCGCUUGAAUAAUUGUUUGGCACUCGCUCAACACCCAAUGAAAUACCCUAGGUUAGCUUCCUGUUAAAUUGAAUCAAUCUCUAGUUUACUUGUUUUUCGCGUCACCAAUUGAAUUGAAAACCAUUUUCUUCUUAGCUUGAUAUUGAAAUUUAUAAGAGUAAAGUGUAGACUGGUCCUCUGGAUUGAAUCUAAAAGUACUAUAAUCACAACUGUUAACUUGGCAGUAGCAAAGAUUCAUAUUUAGUGUAUCAAGUUUUGGCGCCGUUGCCGGGGACCAGAUUUUUUUUACCUCUACUUUUCGGUUUCAUUUUAAGUCUAAGAUAUCUAACUCGCCUCUGUUUCUUGUUACAGCUAAUGAUCCAGGUGCAUGACCAGUAGACAUACUCGGAGCAAUGCACAAGGACCAUUGCAUCAGCUCACCAACGAAGAACUAGCGAGAUUAGAACGUCAGAACCGUCAACUGCCUAGACCUACAAGCACCAACAUGGGUGAUCAUCAGGAUGAUCUUACUGCUGCAUUUGCACUCAUGCAACAACAGAUGCAGCAGAUGCAGCAAACUAUCCAAGCGAACGCUGCAAACCAACGGAAUGCACCGGAGGAAGUUGAUCAGAUUGGCCAAAGGAAUCUAUUGCGUAAUCUACCUGCUACACGAUCCGCCAUCAACCCUCCACCUUGCACUAGACAAGACUUUGAGAUCAAGCUCGCCUUGAUAGGUCUGGUGCAGAGGAAGAUCUUCAACGGACUUCCUGCAGAAAUACCGAUGGACCACACUGAAAACUUUGAGAAGAUGUGUGGGUUCACUAAGGCGAAUGGAGUACCACCAGAUUACAUCAAGUGUACCUUGUUCCCUUUCUCUCUCGAUGGGAAGGCUGCUCGCUGGCUAGAUUCCCUACCAACUGGAUCGCUCACCACAUGGGAACAAGUCAGAUCUGCUUUCUUGAGCCACUUCUACACAAAAUCAAAGACGGCAGCUCUGAGACAGAAGAUCGCCACCUUUAAACAGCUGGUAGAUGAGCCGUUCUGCGACGCAUGGGAGCGAUUCAACGUCUACCGUAGGGAGUGCCCACAUCACGGUUUUGAAGAAGAUUAUCUACUCGGAGUUUUCUACGAUGGAGUAGGUUGGGAGUACAGGAAUGCUUUAAACUCAGCCAGUAAUGGAGAUUUCAUGACCCAAUCCACUCAAGGCGCUUUCGCGUUAAUUGAGAACAUGGCCUCAAGCUCAGCUGACAGCAACCGAGAGACUGACCGCACCCAAAAGGUGAACAGCAUCGACAAUAACAAAAUAGAUGAGCUCUCCGCCAAGGUCGAUCAGCUGAUUAAGAGUAAUCAGAACCAUGUCUUCAUCAUGGAAGAGACUCCUCAGGAUAAAGGAACCACAGACACUACAUCAGAAGCGGACCAGGCGACUGAGGACCACCAUGAGGUUAGCUAUGUGAAUGGGCAAGGAUGGCAGUUUAAGAACUAUCACCCGAACCCUAACGUGAGGAACAACCCCCACCUGUUCAACAACCCUAAACCCGAUGGUAACGCAGAAAAUGCUCAAGGCAAUCAGGUUCAGAACAGUGGCUACCAACGGGGGUAUGGAAAUCAAGGAAGAACCUUUGUCCUCAGCCCAGCUCAGAAUACUCAGUUCCACAACCAGAAACAACCGACUAACCAGCAGCCUGCACAGCCUGCUCAAACUGCUCCACAGGACGAGAUGAAGAGUCUCGCCAUUAUGAUGAGCCAGCUGCUCCAAGGACAGCAGAUUCAGGGAAAAGCACUGAAUCAGGUCACAAACGACAUCAAUACCCGAAUGAAUCACAUGUUCAAUGACCUGAGUGCCAAAUAUGAUAAUGUCUCGAGCCAUAUGAGGCAGAUGGAUAUUCAGAUUGCUCAGACUGUUGAGAGUGUGAAGAGACAGCAAGGCACUAUUCCUGGAAAAACAGAUAAAAAUCCCAAGGAGUGUAAUGCAGUCGCGCUUAGGAGUGGGAAGCAGUUAACUGAUCUGGCACCCAAGAGAUUCACAACAGCUGAAAAGGGGAAGCAGAAAGAAUCAGAACAGCCACCUGUAACCGCACCAGCAGACGAGGAAGAAGCAGAGCUUCCUGCUAAACAUACUCCGACCACUACAGAGCAGCCUACUGUGGUUGUUCGCCCAGCGGCAGAACCUGUUCCCACCCGUGACUAUGUGCCUAAGGUUCCGUACCCUGUUCCUUCUAAGGCCACACGCAAGGACAAGGAGGAGAUGAAAUGUAGGAAGAUGCUGGAAGACUUAACAAUCAGACUCCCUCUCAUGAGUGCAAUCCAGAUGAUGCCAUCCAUGAGUAGCUUUGUGAAAGGACUGAUUUCUGGAAAGAUAACCGAUGACAGUGAGUUCAUGGUGGUCUCUAAAGAGUGCAGCGCUGUUCUCCAGAACAAAAGGAUCAAGAAGCUGGGUGAUCCUGGAAAAUUUGUCCUAUCCAUCCAAAUAGGGAGAACAGUCUUCUCGUGUUCGCUAGUCGAUCUGGGAUCAAGCAUCAACCUCAUGCCAUACUCUGUGGCUAAGCGCCUUGGAUUCACGGAUUUCAAACCUACCAGGAUGUCCCUAGUGUUUGCUGAUCGAUCAGUGAAAUCUCCAGUCGGAAUUAUCGAGGAUAUCCAAGUUCUGGUUGGGAACACACUUGUCCCUGCCGAUUUCGAUGUUCUGGAACUCGAAGAAGAAUCAAAGGAUCCUCUGAUCCUAGGCAGACCAUUCCUAUGCACUGUCGGAGCUAUCAUAGAUGUGCGACAAGGAAAAAUCAAUCUCCACCUAGGAGACAUUGUGAUGAGGUUCGAGAUGAAUCAGAUGCUCAAGAAACCUAUGCUGGAUGGACAAACCUUCACUGUCCAAGAGGAGGGUGAUCCGCUGGAACCGAGUGACCAGAUGAUUGAGGAGAUCCUUAUAGAUGAUCCGCUGGAACUAGCCUUGACUAGAGCUGAAGCAGAACAGAAUGUCCAGAACAUCGAUGCUGAUGGGUACGCUAAGAUGUUGGACUCCGCCAGAACCAUGGAAAGAUUAGUGGCAUAUCUCAGUCUGGGGGAGAACAAUGCCUCAGACUCAUCAAGCUCGCCUGUUCCACCAAGUAGGAACAAUGACCCGUGGAGUGAAUCCAAAGCUCCAAAAGUUGAGCUCAAAACACUCCCUAAGGGGCUCAGGUACGCAUUUCUUGGACCAAAUUUUACAUACCCAGUAAUCGUAAAUGCUGAUCUGAACAAUGCUGAAACUGCUCUUCUCUUAUGCGAACUUAGGAAAUAUCGAAAGGCAUUAGGAUAUUCUCUAGCUGAUAUACCUGGCAUUUCACCUGAUCUGUGCAUGCAUAGAAUACAUAUAGAAGAUGAAUCAAUGACUUCUGUAGAACAUCAGAGGAGGUUAAACCCAAAUCUGAAAGAUGUUGUAAAGAAAGAGAUAAUGAAACUUCUAGAAGCUGGUGUAAUUUAUGCGAUCUCUGAUAGUAAGUGGGUUAGUCAUGUUCAUGUAGUGCCUAAGAAAGGAGGGAUCACUGUUAUAACAAAUGAAAAGAAUGAAUUAAUCCCUACUAGAACAAUAACUGGUCAUCGCAUGUGCAUUGAUUUCCGUAAAUUGAAUGCUGCGACUCGCAAGGAUCACUUUCCACUCCCCUUCAUUGAUCAAAUGCUUGAAAGAUUGGCUAACCACCCUUACUAUUGCUUUUUAGAUGGUUAUUCAGGUUUCUUUCAGAUUCCCAUCCACCCAGACGAUCAAGAAAAGACGACGUUCACAUGUCCUUACGGAACAUACGCCUACAGGAGAAUGCCUUUCGGGCUGUGCAAUGCUCUAGCGACCUUUCAACGCUGCAUGAUGUCAAUUUUCACUGAUCUAAUUGAAGACAUAAUGGAAGUUUUCAUGGACGAUUUCAGCGUCUAUGGGAGCUCCUUUAGUGUCUGUUUGUCAAACUUGUGCAGGGUUCUGAAGCGAUGCGAGGAGAAGCAUCUCGUGCUGAAUUGGGAAAAAUGCCAUUUCAUGGUCAGAGAUGGAAUUGUUUUAGGACAUAAGAUUUCAGAAAAAGGCAUCGAAGUGGACAAGGCAAAGAUCGAUAUCAUGAUGAGUCUGCAACCCCCAACUUCAGUGAGGAGAAUAAAAAGUUUUUUGGGACAUGCUGGUUUUUACAGAAGAUUCAUCCAGGACUUCUCAAGAAUCGCAAGACCACUCACUAGACUGCUCUGCAAGGAAACAAAGUUCGAUUUCGACAACGAGUGCUUAGCUUCAUUUCACACGAUCAAGGGAGCUCUAGUCAGUGCACCGGUUGUCCAACCCCCAGAUUGCGACCUCCCUUUCGAGAUCAUGACGGACCCGAGUGACUUUGCAGUGGGAGCAGUGCUUCGACAGCGGAAGGAUAAAAAGCUCCAUGUGAUCUACUACGCGAGCAAGACACUAGAUGAAGCUCAAUGUAGGUAUGCUACCACAGAGAAGGAACUCCUGGCCAUCGUCUAUGCUUUUGAGAAGUUCCGAUCAUAUCUAGUUGGGUCUAAGGUGAUAGUCCACACGGAUCAUGCAGCUCUCAAGUACCUGCUCACGAAAAAAGAUGCCAAACCGCGACUCCUGAGAUGGAUUCUCCUCCUUCAGGAAUUUGACCUGGAAAUAAGAGACAAGAAGGGGGUAGAAAAUGGAGUAGCGGACCACCUUUCCAGAAUGAAAAUAAACGAUGAUACAGUGAUUGACGAAGAACAAACAGUGGAACACGUCAGUGCAAUUGGUCUUUGCUACGCGGAACAACCAAUGCGCAUAGAAACAGCUUGUCCUUCGCAACCAGAGCAGUUUGUGGCAGCAAUCCAGAAGCAAUAUCCUGAUCUACCGUGGUUUGCUGAGAUUGCAAAUUUCUUAGCUGCUGAAAAGGAGCCUCAGAAGUUCACGGGGAACGAGAAGAGGAAAUUCUUAAGAGAGGCAAGGCACUACUUCUGGGAUGAGCCUUAUCUAUACCGACAAUGCAAGGAUGGGAUCUUUAGACGAUGCGUUCCGGAGGCUGAAAUUCCAGGGAUCCUACACCACUGCCACGGAUCUUCCUACGCUGGACACUUCGCCACAUUCAAAACAGUCUCCAAAAUUCUCCAAGCGGGAUUCUGGUGGCCAACAAUGUUCAGAGAUGCUCACGCUUUCAUAUCCAGAUGCAAUGCAUGCCAGCGAAUGGGCAGUAUGAGCAAAAGGAAUGAGAUGCCUCAGAACUACAUAUUGGAAGUUGAGGUGUUCGACUGCUGGGGAAUAGAUUUUAUGGGACCUUUCCCACCUUCUCACAAGAACGAGUACAUCCUGGUUGCAGUCGACUAUGUCUCUAAGUGGGUAGAAGCAAUUGCUAGUCCGACCAACGACGCACGAGUUGUAACCAAGAUGUUCACCUCCAUCAUCUUUCCAAGAUUUGGAGUACCUAGAGUGGUUAUCAGCGAUGGUGGAACUCACUUCAUCAACAGAGUGUUCCAAGGAUUACUGAGCAAGAACGGCAUGAAACACAAGGUUGCAACCGCCUAUCAUCCCCAAACGAGUGGCCAAGUGGAAAUUUCCAACAGAGAGAUCAAGAACAUUCUGCAGAAAACAGUCAAUACCACGCGUAAGGAUUGGUCCAUCAAGCUUGACGACGCUCUCUGGGCUUACAGAACAGCCUAAAGGAUUGGUCGCUCAAGCUAGACAACGCUCUCUGGGCCUACAGAACAGCCUAUAAAACCCCAUUAGGGACAACUCCCUAUCAUCUGGUCUACGGCAAGGCAUGUCACCUACCUGUGGAGCUAGAGUAUAAGGCAGCUUGGGCUGUUAAGCUGCUUAACUUCGAUAUCAAACCUGCUAAGGAGAGGCGAACAAUUCAGAUCCAUGAGUUGGAGGAGAUUAGGCAUCUGGCCUAUGAGAGUUCCAAAAUCUACAAAGAAAAAACCAAGGCAUUCCAUGACAAACGGAUCAUCAGCAGAAGCUUUGCUCCGAAUGAUCAGGUCUUACUCUUCAACUCAAGGAUUAAGCUAUUCCCUGGAAAGCUAAAAUCCAGAUGGUCAGGACCUUUCACCAUCAAGGAGGUUCGCCCCUAUGGAGCUGUUGUGUUGCUGGACACAAGAGGAGGAGAAUUUGUUGUUAAUGGGCAGCGCCUCAAGCCUUACCUUGCUGAUACAACAAUCGCUGAAGGUGUAGAAAUACCCUUAAGUGAUCCCCUUCAAGCCUAAUCGGCUCACAAAAGUGAAGCUAGUGACUGAAAAGAAGCGCUUGGUGGGAGGCAACCCACUGGUGAGUGUAAAUAUUUCUUUUAUUUCUAAAAAAAAAAAACAAAAACUAACUUGCAGGAAGAAAAUCAUGAAAAUCGAGCACUUCUCAGCAGAACACUCCGGCGCUUGUUCCACUGAUUGUUCCCAGGUAAGUGCUCGAACAAAAAAAAGAAGAGAAAAUGGGAAAUGGCCUAUUUAAGGCCCACUAACUUUACCCUCCCUCCCCAUUAUCUCUAGAGCCGCAAACUAACCUCAAAGAACCCUAAAUCGAAAACUCUCAUUUCGUAUUCUUCUUCAUCGAUUUUGCUCUAAUCUCUUGGAUCCUCUCGAGAUCGGUUUGGUUUUGCAGGAAUCACCUAUCCAAUCAAGGUAACCGCUCAGAUCCCCUUCCCCUUCGCGCAUCAAAAACGCGGUUUGGAAGUGUCUCCUCGAAUCCUCGUUACCUUUUGCUUAGCGAUUUGAUCUUAGAUUGUAGCUAUAGAUUUCACACUUGCUACUAAGGUCUAAUUUGUGCUUGAUUAAACGGAAUAGGAACAUAUUUGUUGAUUGCGGUUCUUGAGUAAUUGCGAUUGUGUUAGAACAAAAUGUUAAACCUAAGCGGUUGUAGGUUGUUUAGGAAUUGAUGGACUUGGGCAGAAUUGAGAGAUUGGAAUGUCCCAUCGUUUCUGAACAGCCGUAGAGCAUGGCUAAUUUGGAAAUUGAUUUUGUUUUGCAGAUGCCUCCAAGAACAAGGAACCCUAAAGCACUCAAGGCCUCUCGUGGAGCAGCCACGCCUUCUCGCUCCGCGAACGUUACAUCCUCCUACCCAUGGCCGAACAAGGCUGAGGGUCAACCGAUCAACAUCAAUGACCCACUACUCCUUGACUACAAUUGUGAGGGGUGGGACAAGGAGUCCGCAGCAAGAUACAACAGGCUUCUCGCAGCAGAGAUCCUGCCCACACGAUUUGCUCACGCGGAGACCUUAGCUGUUCUCGGUCUCGAGUCUGAUGUGUUCGAGACGCUCGACGUCAUGGGCCUCGCUCCUCUCUGCUACCAAGCCCAAGUUCUCUAUCCAGAUUUGGUUCGGCAAGUGCUAGCAACAGCUCAGAUUACUUACCAGAACCCAACUGCGCCAACGUACGGGAACUGCUACUUCUCCUUCAUGGCUGACGGCAAGUUCUGCUCCAUCUCUCUCCACGAUCUAAACGAACUACUCGAGAUCGCAGACACGCCAAGAGAGGUCUUAGUUGACAAAAAGUUCGCGCCAGCAAACGCCUUUUGGGAUCUCAUUGCGACAGGAAAGUUCACUUCUCGCAAGGCUUAUCAAUCACAAAUCCGAAACCCCACUCUGCGUAUCAUUGCCAAGAUCGUCUCGAACAUCCUAUUCGCAAAGGAACUCACCUCCAAGGUAACAAACGGAGAGCUGCAGGUUCUAUACACCGGGCUCGAGGAUGAGAUCCGUAGAGACAGAGUCAUACCGAUACAGACUGUGAAAACAAACCCUGGAUUCCUUCUCAUCUCGAUGCUCUCUGAGCGCAAGGAUUCCAUGGUCCGAACAGAAGACAAGAAAGACCGCUGCGGCAGUGUUCUCACACCCUUGUUCAAACGCUUCAACAUCGACAUGGAUUCCUACACGGUUGUUCCUGAGCUUGAGUACAUUGACACCGCUUACUUGAUCACAUGCCACAUCCUGCGCGACGAAAGCACAUACAAGUUCGCAGACAAGGACGGGAACACUCUCUACUGCAAGCUCCCUCUUCCAGGGUUAACAGACUUCACAACCUUGGAAAACAUAGUGUUUUUGCCCAACGCAGAACACUUGUGCGACGACCCGUGCGCCAAUUCCAGAUGAGAAUGCGGCCAAGGAUGAUGUGGAGGACAUGGCUCCACCUGCUGAUGGUGCUUACGACCUAGAGGACCUCACGGAUGUUACUGAUGACCACGCCUACAGACGUUGGAUGGUGGACUCUCAGAAGAAAAACAACAGCCUCAUGAAGAGGAUCCUCAGAGCACUCACUGGAGGCUGCAUCAGAAGUCAGGAUGAGCAGACGACGCAAGGAACAAGGCGCCCAGGCAAAGAACCAGCGGGCACUUCAACUAGAGAAGAGAGACUUCCGAGGAACCAGAGAACAGCCGGCCACUCCAGCAGCGGCGAUUCAGACUGAGUCCGAACGGACUAUUCCUAUUCCCUUGUUUUAUCCAUCUGAACUAUUUAUUUCCCUGCUAUUUGUUUUCGGUUUGGUGUGUUUUAGCCUCCUCCGAUUUAUUUUCACAACCAGGGAUGGUGUGAAGUAAGUCUGGGGGAGAAACUCUGUACGAUUUCCAUGUUUUUAUUGAGUCAGCCCCUAGGAUUGAGUCAGUCCAGUCAAACUUAUUGUGGUAAUCAGGACCUUAUUUUGUGAUGAUUUCUUAACCACCUCGUGCUUUAACCUUCUUAUUCAGUGACCUUAGCAGUGAUGAAAGACCCACACAUGGACCUGGAACACCCUGACUUAUCUCAUUUGACACUCCAGAAGUUCUCCACCGAUCAGGUUACACUGGGUAGACUCAACUCCACUAUAUCUGAACCUAAUCUGGACUUUAAUUCUUCUUGUUAUGGGUACUAGAUCAGGGAAACGAGACCUAUACUCAGGACUUCUUAUCCUUUAUAUCCAUCUUGCUGUUCCUGAGUAGCUAGCUCAUCUUUAGCUAGUUCCCACCUUGUACCUUAGCCUUCAUUCCAACUUCAGGCAUUUGUUUUUCAGUGUUAUAUGUGCAGAUAUGUGCAAAAAGGUUGGAGAGGAAAGGAUCAACGCAGCCUCUUACUCGUUACUGCUGCAGAAAUUCAAUCAGAAAGGAGAACAAGCAGAUCAAGAGACCAACUGCUCCAUGACCAAUGAAUCGUGCAAUUAUAGCAGAAUGAUGCGAAUCAGAUCCACCAGUGGCCUCCUUAAAAUCACAUGUUACCUCCUUCUUCGUCACCUCAUCUCUAUUUUCAUGCUAUGCAAAAAAAAAAAAAAAAUACCUUUCAUUUUUAGCAUUUGACGAUGGAGAAGGAGAUGAGUUCAAAGGAACAUGAGCCACUGGGAAAGUCAAGAAAAAAGUUUAGGCUAAUUUUCGGAGAACAUAGAAGGGGGCGAGCAGAGCUGUUCCAGAACAGAGAGCAGCCGUUCGAGAGAGAGCAAAAAACGAGUAGACGCUGUGGACAUCAAUGGAUCCGUUCUCUCUUGCCAUUUUGUGCGAUAUCCUGCAUCCUCUAAAAAAUCGGUAACCCCUAAACACUCUUAACUCCACCAUUAAAAAGCCUGUUCCAUACCUAGACCGUCCACCCUGAGUAGCGCCCAUGACAAGAAGCUCACGAAAAUUCUAAUUGAACAAAUGGAGUUUGGUCUCGAAAGUGUCGCUUUUUCAGGUCAAGAUGUAGAGUAAGAAGCAGAUCUGUGAACAGCGAUCAGGGGUUUCCAGUAAGUGUGUGUGGUUAUAAUCUACUGCUUCUAUGGUUCAGAGAUUUGUGGUAAGAGUAUGGUUGCUGAGAAUAAGCGAGUUCCCACACUUUCAAACUUUUCUCCUGUUCUUGAUACUUGCCUUGUUCGAGGACAAACAAGGAUCUAAGUCUGGGAGAAUUGAUAUAUGGUGUUUUUCACAUCAUUGUAUAGGUGUUUUUGUAUUGAUUCGAGUCCUUAAUCCGAGUCAGUCUAGUCCUUUUUGAUCUUUUACAGGUCUGGAGUUGGUAGAAGAAUGAAGAGAGCGUGCUUGAAGAGAAGCUGUCCUUUUGGAGCAUUUUGCGGAGAACACUCAAGACGAACAGUCCCUAGANNNNNNNNNNNNNNNNNNNNNNNNNNNNNNNNNNNNNNNNNNNNNNNNNNNNNNNNNNNNNNNNNNNNNNNNNNNNNNNNNNNNNNNNNNNNNNNNNNNNNNNNNNNNNNNNNNNNNNNNNNNNNNNNNNNNNNNNNNNNNNNNNNNNNNNNNNNNNNNNNNNNNNNNNNNNNNNNNNNNNNNNNNNNNNNNNNNNNNNNNNNNNNNNNNNNNNNNNNNNNNNNNNNNNNNNNNNNNNNNNNNNNNNNNNNNNNNNNNNNNNNNNNNNNNNNNNNNNNNNNNNNNNNNNNNNNNNNNNNNNNNNNNNNNNNNNNNNNNNNNNNNNNNNNNNNNNNNNNNNNNNNNNNNNNNNNNNNNNNNNNNNNNNNNNNNNNNNNNNNNNNNNNNNNNNNNNNNNNNNNNNNNNNNNNNNNNNNNNNNNNNNNNNNNNNNNNNNNNNNNNNNNNNNNNNNNNNNNNNNNNNNNNNNNNNNNNNNNNNNNNNNNNNNNNNNNNNNNNNNNNNNNNNNNNNNNNNNNNNNNNNNNNNNNNNNNNNNNNNNNNNNNNNNNNNNNNNNNNNNNNNNNNNNNNNNNNNNNNNNNNNNNNNNNNNNNNNNNNNNNNNNNNNNNNNNNNNNNNNNNNNNNNNNNNNNNNNNNNNNNNNNNNNNNNNNNNNNNNNNNNNNNNNNNNNNNNNNNNNNNNNNNNNNNNNNNNNNNNNNNNNNNNNNNNNNNNNNNNNNNNNNNNNNNNNNNNNNNNNNNNNNNNUUUGUCACAGCUAAUGAUCCAGGUGCAUGACCAGUAGACAUACUCGGAGCAACGCACAAGGACCAUUGCAUCAGCUCACCAACGAAGAACUAGCGAGAUUAGAACGUCAGAACCGUCAACUGCCUAGACCUACAAGCACCAACAUGGGCGAUCAUCAGGAUGAUCUUACUGCUGCGUUUGCACUCAUGCAACAACAGAUGCAGCAGAUGCAGCAAACUAUCCAAGCGAACGCUGCAAACCAACGUAAUGCACCGGAGGAAGCUGAUCAGAUUGGCCAAAGGAAUCUCUUGCGUAAUCUACCUGCUACGCGAUCCGCCAUCAACCCUCCACCUUGCGCUAGGCAAGACUUUGAGAUCAAGCCCGCCUUGAUAGGUCUGGUGCAGAGGAAGAUCUUCAAUGGACUUCCUGCAGAAAUUCCGAUGGACCACAUUGAAAACUUUGAGAAGAUGUAUGGGUUCACUAAGGCGAAUGGAGUACCACCAGAUUACAUCAAGUGUACCAUGUUCCCUUUCUCUCUCGAUGGGAAGGCUGCUCGCUGGUUAGAUUCCCUACCCACUGGAUCGCUCACCACAUGGGAACAAGUCAGAUCCUCUUUCUUGAGCCAUUUCUACACGAAGUCAAAGACAGCAGCUCUGAGACAGAAGAUCGCCACCUUUAAACAGCUGGUAGAUGAGCCGUUCUGCGACGCUUGGGAGCGAUUCAACGUCUACCGCAGGGAGUGCCCACAUCACGGUUUUGAAAAAGACUAUCUACUCGGAGUGUUCUACGAUGGAGUAGGUUGGGAGUACAGGAAUGCUUUAAACUCAGCCAGUAAUGGAAAUUUCAUGACCCAAUCCACUCAAGGCGCUUUCGCGCUGAUUGAGAACAUGGCCUCAAGCUCAGCUGACAGCAACCGAGAGACUGACCGCACCCAAAAGGUGAACAGCAUCGACAAUAGCAAAAUAGAUGAGCUCUCUGCCAAGGUCGAUCAACUGAUAAAGAUUAAUCAGAACCAUGUCUUCAUCAUGGAAGAAUCCCCUCAGGAUAAAGGAACCACAUACACUACAUCAGAAGCAGACCAGGCGACUGAGGACAAUCAUGAGGUUAGCUAUGUGAAUGGACAAGGAUGGCAGUACAAGAACUAUCACCCGAACCCUAACGUGAGGAACAACCCCCACCUGUUCAACAACCCUAAACCCGAUGGUAACGCAGAAAAUGCUCAAGGCAAUCAGGUUCAGAACAGUGGCUACCAACGGGGGUAUGGAAAUCAAGGAAGAACAUUUGUCCUCAGCCCAGCUCAGAAUACUCAGUUCCACAACCAGAAACAACCGACUAACCAGCAGCCUGGACAGCCUGCUCAAACUGCUCCACAAGACGAGAUGAAGAGUCUUGCCAAUAUGAUGAGCCAGCUGCUCCAAGGACAGCAGAUCCAGGGAAAAGCACUGAAUCAGGUCACAAACGACAUCAAUACCCGAAUGAAUCACAUGUUCAAUGACCUGAGUGCCAAAUAUGAUAAUGUCUCGAGCCAUAUGAGGCAAAUGGAUAUUCAGAUUGCUCAGACUGCUGAGAGUGUGAAGAGACAGCUGAGAGUGUGAAGAGACAGCAAGGCACUCUUCCUGGAAAAACAGAUAAAAAUCCCAAGGAGUGCAAUGCAGUCGCGCUUAGGAGUGGGAAGCAGUUAACUGAUCUGGCACCCAAGAGAUUCACAACAGCUGAAAAAGGGAAGCAGAAAGAGUCAGAACAACCACCAGUAACCGCACCAACAAGCGAGGAAGAAGCAGGGUUUCCUGCUAAACAUACUCCAACCACUACAGAGCAGCCUACUGUGGUUGUUCGCCCAGCUGCAGAACCUGUACCCACCCGUGACUAUGUGCCUAAGGUUCCGUACCCUGUUCCUGCUAAGGCCACACGCAAGGACAAGGAGGAGAUGAAAUGUAGGAAGAUGCUGGAAGACUUAACAGUCAGACUCCCUCUCAUGAGUGCAAUCCAGAUGAUGCCAUCCAUGAGUAGCUUUGUGAAAGGACUUAUUUCUGGAAAGAUAACCGAUGACAGUGAGUUCAUGGUGGUCUCAAAAGAGUGCAGCGCUGUUCUCCAGAACAAAAGGAUCAAGAAACUGGGUGACCCUGGAAAAUUUGUCUUAUCCAUCCAAAUAGGGAGAACAGUCUUCUCAUGUUCGCUAGUCGAUCUGGGAUCGAGCAUCAACCUCAUGCCAUACUCUGUGGCUAAGCGCCUUGGAUUCACGGAUUUCAAACCUACCAGGAUGUCCCUAGUGUUUGCUGAUCGCUCAGUGAAAUCUCCGGUCGGAAUUAUCGAGGAUAUCCAAGUUCUUGUUGGGAACACGCUUGUCCCUGCCGAUUUCGUUGUUUUGGAACUAGAGGAAGAGUCAAAGGAUCCUCUGAUCCUAGGCAGACCAUUCCUAUGCACUGUCGGAGCUAUCAUAGAUGUCAGACAAGGAAAAAUCGACCUCCACCUAGGAGACAUUGUGAUGAGGUUCGAGAUGAAUCAGAUGCUCAAGAAACCUAUGCUGGAUGGACAAACCUUCACUGUCCAAGAGGAGGGUGAUCCGCUGGAACCAAGUGAUCAGAUGAUUGAGGAGAUCCUUACAGAUGAUCCGCUGGAACUAGCCUUGACUAGAGCUGAAGCAGAACAGAAUGUCCAGAACAUCGACGCUGAUGGGUACGCUAAGAUGAUGGACUCCGCCAGAAUCAUGGAAAGAUUAGUGGCAUAUCUCAGUCUGGGGGAGAACAAUGCCUCAGACUCGUCGAGCUCGCCUGUUCCACCAAGUCGGAACAAUGACCCGUGGAGUGAAUCCGAAGCUCCAAAAGUCGAGCUCAAAACACUCCCUAAGGGGCUCAGGUACGCAUUUCUUGGACCAAAUUCUACAUACCCAGUAAUCGUGAAUGCUGACCUGAACAAUGCUGAAACUGCUCUUCUCCUAUGCGAACUUAGGAAAUAUCGAAAGGCAUUAGGAUAUUCUCUAGCUGAUAUACCUGGCAUUUCACCUGAUCUGUGCAUGCAUAGAAUACACCUAGAAGAUGAAUCAAUGACUUCUGUAGAACAUCAGAGGAGGUUAAACCCAAAUCUGAAAGAUGUUGUUAAGAAAGAGAUAAUGAAACUUUUAGAAGCCGGUGUAAUCUAUGCGAUCUCUGAUAGUAAGUGGGUUAGUCAUGUUCAUGUAGUGCCUAAGAAAGGAGGGAUCAUUGUUAUAACAAAUGAAAAGAAUGAACUAAUCCCUACUAGAACAGUAACUGGUCAUCGCAUGUGCAUUGAUUUCCGUAAAUUGAAUGCUGCGACCCGCAAGGAUCACUUUCCACUCCCCUUCAUUGAUCAAAUGCUUGAAAGAUUGGCUAACCACCCUUACUAUUGCUUUUUAGAUGGCUAUUCAGGUUUUUUUCAGAUUCCCAUCCACCCAGACGAUCAGGAAAAGACGACGUUCACAUGUACUUACGGAACAUACGCCUACAGGAGGAUGCCUUUUGGGCUGUGCAAUGCUCCAGCGACCUUUCAACACUGCAUGAUGUCAAUUUUCACUGAUCUAAUUGAAGACAUAAUGGAGGUUUUCAUGGACGAUAUCAGCGUCUAUGGAACCUCCUUUAGUGUCUGUUUGUCAAACUUGUGUAGGGUUCUGAAGCGAUGCGAGGAGAAGCAUCUCGUUCUUAAUUGGGAAAAAUGCCAUUUCAUGGUCAGAGAUGAGAUUGUUCUAGGACAUAAGAUUUCAGAAAAGGGCAUCGAAGUGGACAAGGCAAAGAUCGAUAUCAUGAUGAGUCUGCAGCCACCAACUUCAGUGAGGGGAAUAAAGAGCUUUUUGGGACAUGCUGGUUUUUACAGAAGAUUCAUCCAGGACUUCUCGAGAAUCGCAAGACCGCUCACUAGACUGCUCUGCAAGGAAACAAAGUUUGACUUCGACAGCGAGUGCUUAGCUUCAUUUCACACGAUCAAGGGAGCUCUAGUCAGUGCACCGGUUGUCCAACCCCCAGACUGGGACCUCCCUUUCGAGAUCAUGACAGACGCGAGUGACUUUGCAGUAGGAGCAGUGCUAGGCCAGCGGAAGGAUAAGAAGCUCCAUGUGAUCUACUACGCGAGUAAGACAUUGGAUGAAUCUCAAUGUAGGUAUGCUACAACGGAGAAGGAACUCCUGGCCAUCGUCUAUGCUUUUGAGAAGUUUCGAUCAUAUCUAGUUGGGUCUAAGGUGAUAGUCCACACGGAUCAUGCAGCUCUCAAGUACCUGCUCACAAAAAAAGAUGCCAAACCGCGGCUCCUGAGAUGGAUUCUCCUCCUUCAAGAAUUUGACCUGGAAAUAAGAGACAAGAAGGGGGUAGAAAAUGGAGUAGCGGACCACCUUUCCAGAAUGAAAAUAAACGAUGAUACUGUGAUUGACGAAGAGCAACCAGUGGAACACGUAAGUGCGAUUGGUCUUUGCUAUUCAGAACAACCAAUGCGCAUGGAAACGGCUUGUUCUUCACAACCAGAGCAGUUUGUCGCAGCAAUCCAGAAGCAACAUCCUGAUCUACCGUGGUUUGCUGAGAUUGCAAAUUUCUUAGCCGCUGAAAAAGAGCCUCAGAAGUUCACAGGGAACGAGAAGAGAAAAUUCUUAAGAGAGGCAAGGCACUACUUUUGGGAUGAGCCUUACCUAUACCGACAAUGCAAGGAUGGGAUCUUCAGACGAUGCGUUCCAGAGGCUGAAAUUCCAGGUAUCCUACACCACUGCCACAGAUCUUCCUACGCUGGACACUUCGCCACAUUCAAAACAGUCUCCAAAAUUCUCCAAGCGGGAUUCUGGUGGCCAACAAUGUUCAGAGAUGCUCACACCUUCAUAUCCAGAUGCAAUGCAUGCCAGCGAAUGGGCAGUAUCAGCAAAAGGAAUGAGAUGCCUCAGAAUUACAUAUUGGAAGUUGAGGUGUUCGACUGCUGGGGAAUAGAUUUUAUGGGACCUUUCCCACCUUCUCACAAGAACGAGUACAUCCUGGUUGCAGUCGACUAUGUCUCCAAGUGGGUAGAAGCGAUUGCUAGUCCAACCAAUGACGCACGAGUUGUAACCAAGAUGUUCACCUCCAUCAUCUUUCCAAGAUUUGGAGUACCUAGAGUGGUUAUCAGCGAUGGUGGAAAUCACUUCAUCAACAGAGUGUUCCAAGGAUUACUGAGCAAGAACGGCGUGAAACACAAGGUUGCAACCGCCUACCAUCCCCAAACGAGUGGCCAAGUGGAAAUUUCCAACAGAGAGAUCAAGAACAUUAUACAGAAAACAGUCAAUACCACGCGUAAGGAUUGGUCCAUCAAACUUGACGACUCUCUCUGGGCCUACAGAACAGCCUAUAAAACCCCAUUAGGGACCACUCCCUAUCAUCUGGUCUAUGGCAAGGCAUGUCACCUACCUGUGGAGCUAGAGUAUAACGCAGCUUGGGCAGUCAAGCUGCUUAACUUCGAUAUCAAACCUGCCAAGGAGAGGCGAACAAUUCAAAUCCAUGAGUUGGAGGAGAUUAGGCAUCUGGCCUAUGAGAGCUCCAAAAUCUACAAAGAAAAAACCAAAGCAUUCCAUGACAAACGGAUCAUCAGCAGGAGCUUUGCUCCGAAUGAUCAGGUCUUACUCUUCAACUCAAGGAUAAAGUUGUUCCCUAGAAAGCUAAAAUCCAGAUGGUCAGGACCUUUCACCAUCAAGGAGGUUCGCCCCUAUGGAGCUGUAGUGUUGCUGGACACAAGAGGAGGAGAAUUUGUUGUUAAUGGUGAGCGACUCAAGCUUUACCUUGCUGACACAACAAUAGCUGAAGGUGUAGAAAUACCCUUAAGCGAUCCCCUUCAAGCCUAAUCGGCUCACAAAAGUCAAGCUAGUGACUGAAAAGAAGCGCUUGGUGGGAGGCAACCCACUGGUGAGUGUAAAUAUUUCUUUUAUUUUCUAAAAAAAAAAAAAAAAAAAAAAAAAAAAAAAAUUUUUUAAAAAAAAAAAAAAAAAAAAAAACUAACUUGCAGGAAGAAAAAUCGAGCAUUUCUCAGGAGAACACUCCAGCGCUUGUUCCACUGAUUGUUCCCAGGUAAGUGCUCGAACAAAAAAAAAAAAAAAAGAGAAAAGGAAAAAUGGCCUAUUAAAGGCCCACUAACGGAAAAAUGGCCCUUUAAAGGCCCCCUAACUUUACCCCCCCCCCCCCAUUAUCUCUAACGCCGCAAACCAACCUCAAAGAACCCUAAAUCGAAAAUUUCACUCCUAUUUUUCUUCAUCGAUUUUUGUUCUAAUCUCUUGGAUCCUCUAGAGAUCGGUUGGGUUUUGCAGGAAUCGUCAAUCAACUCAAGGUAACUGCUCAGACACUCUUCCCCUUCGCGCAUCCAAUCCGCGAAUUGAAAGUGUCCCUUUGGAUUCUCUCAUCCCUUUUGUUUCAAGAUUUGAUCUUAGAUUGUAGCUAUCGGUAUCACAAUUGCUACUAGGGUCGAAAUUUGGUUUGAUUAUCAGGGAAAAACAAUUUCAUUGUUAAGAGUUUCUUGAGUAGUUGCGGUUGUAAUAGGUCUAGGUGUUAAUCCUAAGAACUCGAAGGUUGUUCAGAAAUUGAUGGACUUGGGCAAAAAAAAAAAAAAAAAAAAAAAAAUUCGAGAUUGGAAUGUCACAUCAUUUCUAGAACAACCAUUGAGCAGUGCUAAUUUGGAAAUUGAUUUCGUUUUGCAGAUGGCUCCAAAAACAAGGAUUCCGAAAGCACUCAAAGCCUCUCACGGAGCAGCCACGCCUUCUCGUUCCGCGAAUGUUCCAUCCACCUAUCCAUGGCCGAACAAAGCUGAGGGUCAAGCGAUUAACAUCAAUGACCCACUACUCCUUGACUACAAUUGUGAGGGGUGGGACAAGGAAUCCACAGCGAGGUACAACAGGCUUCUGGCAGCAGAAAUCUUGCCCACACGAUUUGCUCACGAGGAGACCUUAGCUGUUCUCGGCCUCGAGUCUGACGUCUUCGACACGCUCCACGUUAUGGGCCUCGCUCCUCUCUGCUACCAAGCCCAAGUUCUCUAUCCUGAUUUGGUUCGGCAAGUGCUCGCAACUGCUCAGAUCACUUACCAGAACCCAACCGCGCCAACGUACGAAAACUGCUCCUUCUCCUUCAUGGCUGAUGGCAAGUUCUGCUCCAUCUCUCUCCACGAUCUAAACGAACUACUCGAGAUCGCAGACACGCCAAGAGAGGUCGCAGUUGAGAAAAAGUUCGCGCCAGCAAACGCCUUUUGGGAUCUCAUUGCGACAGGAAAGUUCACUUCUCGCAAGGCUUAUCAAUCACAAAUCCGGAACCCCACUCUGCGUAUCAUUGCCAAGAUCGUCUCGAACAUCCUCUUUGCAAAGGAACUCACCUCCAAGGUCACAAACGGCGAGCUGCAGGUUCUAUACACAGGGCUCGAGGAUGAAAUCCGUAGAGACAGAGUCAUACCGAUUCAGGCUGUGAAGACUAACCCUGGAUUCCUUCUCAUCUCGAUGCUCACUGAGCGCAAGGAUUCCUUGCUCCGAACCGAAGAUAAGAAAGACCGCUGCGGCAGUAUUCUCACACCUUUGUUCAAACACUUCAACAUCAACCUGGAUUCCUACACGGUUGUUCCUGAGCUCGAGCACAUCGACACCGCUUACUUGAUCACAUGACACAUCCUGCGCGACGAGAGCACAUACAAGUUCGCAGACAAGGACGGGAACACUCUCUACUGCAAGCUCCCUCUUCCUGGGUUAACAGACUUCUCAACCUUGGAAAACAUAGUGUUCCUGCCCGACACAGAACACUUGUGCGACGACCCACGUGCGCCAGUUCCAGAUGCGAAUGCGGCCAGGGAUGAUGUGGAGGAUAUGGCUGCACCUGCUGAUGGUGCUUAUGACCUGGAGGACCUCACAGAUGUUACUGAUGAUCACGCCUACAGGCGUUGGAUGGUGGACUCUCAGAAGAAAAACAACAGCCUCAUGAAGAGGAUCCUCAGAGCACUCACUGGAGGCUGCAUCGGAAGUCAGGAUGGACAGACGACGCAGGGAACAAGGCGCCCAGGCAAAGAACCAGCGGGCACUUCAACUGGAGAAGAGAGACUUCCGAGGAACAGGAGAACAACCGGCCACUCCAGCAGUGGUAAUUCAGACUGAGUCCGAACGGACGAUUCCAAUUCCCUUGUUCUAUCCAUCAAAACUAUUUAUUUACUUGCUAUUUGUUUCUGUUUGGUGUGUUUUAGCCUCCUCCGAUUUAUUUUCACAGCCAGGGAUGGUGUGAAGUAAGUCUGGGGGAGAAACUCUGUACGAUUUUCAUGUUUUUAUUGAGUCAGUCCCUAGGAUCGAGUCAGUCCAGUCAAACUUAUUGUGGUAAUCAGGACCUUAUUUUGUGAUGAUUUCUUAACCACCUCGUGCUUUAACCUUCUUAUUCAGUGACCUUAGCAGUGAUGAAAGACCCACACAUGGACCUGGAACACCCUGACUUAUCUCAUUUGACACUCCGGAAGUUCUCCACCGAUCAGGUUACACUGGGAAGACUCAACUCCACUAUAUCUGAACCUAAUCUGGACUUUAAUUCUUCUUGUUAUGGGCACUAGAUCAGGGAAACGGGACCUAUACUCAGGACUUCUUAUCCUUUAUAUCCAUCUUGUUGUUCCUAAGUAGCUAGCUCAUCUUUAGCUAGUUCCCACCUUGUACCUUAGCCUUCAUUCCAACUUCAGGCAAUUGUUUUUCAGUGUUAUAUGUGAAGAUAUGUGCAAAAAGGUUGGAGAGGAAAGGAUCGACGCAGCCUCUUACUCGUUACUGCUGCAGAAAUUCAAUUAGAAGGGAGAACAAGCAGAUCAAGGGAGCAACUGCUCCAUGACCAAUCAAUCAUGCAAGCAGAGCAGAAUGAUGCGAAUCAGACCCACCAGUGGCCUCCUUAACAUUACAUGUUACCUCCUUCUUCGUCACCGCAACAUCUAUUUUCAUGCUAUUCAUUCAAAAACAAAAAAAAAAAAAAAAUUAUUUUUAGCAUUUUACGAUGGAGAAGGAGAUGAAUUCAAGGGAACACGAGCCACUGGGAAAGUCAAGAAAGAGUUUAGGGUAAUUUUCAGAGAACAUAGAAGGGGGCGAACAGAGCAGUCUGGUAACUGUUCCAGAACAAAGAGCAGCCGUUCGAGAGAAAGCAAAAACGAGUAGAGGCUGUGGACAUCAAUGGAUCCGUUCUCUCUUGCCGUUUUGUGCGAUAUCCUGCAUCCUCUAAGAAAUCGGUAACCCCUAAACACUCUUAGCUCCACUAUAAAAAAAAAGGCAUGUUCCAUACCUAGACCGUCCACCCUGAGUAGCGCCUAUGACAAGAAGCUCACGAAAAUUCUAAUUGAACAAAUGGAGUUUGGUCUCGAAAGUGUCGCUUUUUCAGGUCAAGAUGUAGAGUAAGGAGCCGAUCUGUGAACAGCGAUCAGGGGUUCCCAGUAAGUGUGUGUGGUCCUAAUCUGUUGCUUGUAUGGUUCAGAGAUUUGUGGUAAGAGUAUGGUUGCUGAGAAUAAGCGAGUUCCCACACUUUCAAACUUUUCUCCCUGUUCCUGAUACUUGCCUUGUUCGAGGACAAACAAGGAUCUAAGUCUGGGGGAAUUGAUAUAUGGUGUUUUUCACAUCAUUGUAUAGGUGUUUUCGUAUUGAUUCGAGUCCUUAAUCCGUGUCAGUUUAGUCCUUUUUGAUCUUUUUCAGGUCUGGAGUUGGUAGAAGAAUGAAGAGAGGGUAUUGAUCCAACAUAGACUUUUGCACCUUAGAUAGAAAUAAGAUUCUAAAUUAAUUGAAUAGAUAAUGCUAUGAUAAUAAUAAAAGCAAUGGCCAUUUUACACAAAAACAAAUAAAGGUUAUAAAAUAAUUAACAGAAAAAGGAUUAGAGAGAACCAAAUCGUGACGUCUAGGAACCAAAUCUUGUGAAUAAACAAUGACUUAAAUUUCGAAUUACAUUGAUUAGUUUCUUUCAAAUCAAACAAACAAAAACAUCGGAGUGUAUGGAAGGUAUACAAAUAUUUCUUUUUUUGACUAAAUUAUAUAGAUACAUAUAUAUAUUUUUUUGAGAACUAUAUAAAUAUUUCUUUGUACGAGAGUAUUGAAAUAAGAAGCUGGAGGGGUCCCGUCUCUGAGAUGAUUUUUUUUUUUUUUUUUUUUUUUUUUUUUUAUUAACCAGGUGUUGACAAACCUUCGGCCAGCCCACCACCUAGGUCCGGCGCCAGCCUGCGCCUGUACCGGUUAGGGCCCUAGGCAUGCCUCCCCGCCUGCGAAUCGAACAGCUGACCUCCCUCCCAAAGUUGAGGGGCAGGUACCACUAGACUAUCGAGUCCGGGUCCGUCUCUGAGAUGAUGUUAUUACUAAUUUACUAUGAUCAGCUGUUUAUGAAUUAUGACCAUGUAUAUGACAAUAUGAUCCAUUCUCUGCUCUAUUAGUUCUUCCUCGAGUUUGUUCUUGGAAUGAAGUUAUGUUUUUGUUGAUUGUUGGCCUGUUUUUUUACUUUUUUUUUUUUGCCAGGGUAACUCUUGUAAAAGUUUACUACUAUAUAUAGUACUAUUGUAGAACAACCUCAUAUCAUUGAUGAAAUUUACGGUCUUAGCAAAAAAAAAAAUUAUUUCUUCUAUGAUAAUCAACGUAAUAAUAGUUGUCCCCAGCAUUUUCUGACGUUCCACACAGGCCACAGUUACCGACAUGACUACUUUACUGGCAAAAGAAAGUCUAGCUGAGAUAAAAAACAAAAAGAAAAAAGAAAAAAGUAAAUAUUUGUUAUAUAUCGUUGUCUUCUUCUUAGUCCCACUUUAGUAAUUAGUAAUAUUUUUAUUUAUUUGAAAUAUGAAUUUUGUGAGCGAAAAUGUGUGGUCAAAUGGUUAUAAUCGUGGAUGGAAUUACAUUUCACUAUCGCCAACCACUGUGGAUUCUUGAAAAGUAGACGAUGGUGCCACGUAGCUUUUGGAGUUGGGGAAGUACAUUUGUGUUGGCGCGAAGAUGGGGAAAACGGCUUAUUGGUGCCCGCGCUACCAAACCAGGGAAAAUACAUAUCCAACAAUAUUAACGUACCAAAAUAUUCAUAAAUUAAAUAAAAAUUUAAAUUGCAUACCUAAACUCAUAGUAAAUAGCUAAAAAUAUCUAUAGCCGGUUAUAUGAUGAUUUGGACUACUUUUUUAAUUUUUUUGUAGUUUAGUCCCUAUAAUUCUAUUUUUUUUGUCAAUAUGCCUUAAAUAACUUAAAUAAUCAAAUUUAUCUUUUUUAUAAUUUUAAUUUAAAAAGUACAAUUUUAUUUUUUUAACAGAUUUUAAUUAAAUUUAAAUAAUAAAUUUAAUUAUUUAUGAGAAAUUUAGAUAGUUAUCAUAUACAAUAUAUUAAUUAAUUUAGUUAUCAAAUUAUGUUAUCUACCUUAUUAAAACAUGAGAAUUAAUUAUAAAUAAUCUUACUCAUAUGUAAUAUUUACAAGAAAUACCACUCAAUUUAUAUUUAUAUAAAAUUUUCUUUACAAAUAUAGUCAUUCAAAUUUUAAUCAAUAUAACUAAAAAUACUCUUUAGAAAUUUGAUUUUAAAGUAUAGAUCUUUAAUAAUAUUACCCUUACAUAAUAAAAAGAAAAGAAUGGCUGGUUAACCAAAAAUAGUUUCGAACGCAGCAUCUCAAGAAAAACAAUAUCGCACAAAACCACUAGACCAUAUUACAUUAUUUUUAUUUUGCUACAAAACUAGUAUGUAAUAUUAAUAACACACAAAAAGUUUACAAAACUAUUUCCCGAUUAAUUCUCGUAUAAUUACCAAAUAAUUGAUUCGACGCUAGGUUAGAGUCAAGCGCACACAUUAUGCCUAGUGUAAUUAACAUUGGUUUUGAUAACUACAAACAAAAAUUACAAAUUUUUUAUUUUAUUUAUAUUAUAUAUAUCACGCAAGCACAUGAUAAGAUUUGCAACUAAAAUAACCUAAGAAAAUAUAAAAAAUAUUUUAUAAAUUUUAAGAACUAGUGAGAUUAAAUUAGGCUUUAAAUUAUGAUAGUGUUUUUAUGUUGUUUUCUAUUUAUUUAAAUUUUUUGUAUCAAAUAUUUCAAUAUGAAAUAAUAAUAAUAUAUUUAUAUUAUUAAAUCUAUUUUAUUUGAUAAAAAAUAUUUUUAUUUUAUAUAUCACCAUAUAUUAAAAUUUAUUUCCAAUUUUGAAAUUAUAAAUAAGGCAAAUUUGAUGAUUUUAGUUAUUUGUGGCACUUUACAAACAAAUAAAAUGACAAAAAUUAAAAGAUAAUAAUUAAAAAAAAUAAAUCAAUACAUUUUAAAAUGGACUGACACGUGUCAGUUACGAGACAUGUUUUAGCUAUUUAUUAUGAGUUUAGGUAUGCAAUUCAAAUUCUUAUUUAGUUUAGGAAUGUUUUGGCACGUUAAUAUUGCAUGAGUAUGUAUUUUUCCUGACUUCAUAGUGCGGACAUUAUAAGCCAUUUUUCCGUGUGAAGAUGUCUCAUUAUCUUAGGGUUUAGGGUUGAAAGUGUAGUGUUGGUCAAGUCCGAUUAGGAGAAAUUUAUCAUUGGAUAUGUUUUAGAAGUUGUUCUCAUUGAUUUAUUUUUUGAACAACGAACAUAUGAGUUCAAGCAGUAUGUUGUUUCGAAUAUAUAUUUUAUGUUAACAUCAGAUCUUGUAAGUCGUACAUACACUUCGGAUUUCACAUAAGAGAUAUUUGAACAUAUAUAUGUUUUCUCGUAAUAGUAGAGGUGGUUACAACUGUCGGCAAAAUAUGUAAGAAGAAACUUUAUAUUCUUAUUUCGCAAAAAAAAACUUUAUAUUCUUAGAAUCUUAGAUAACAAAUUAAUCAAUGGUGGUUUUUGUUAAUAAGAGACAUUAACGGAUCGACCCGGUAAGAGGAGGAAGUGAGAUCGAGCCCUAAAUUCCCAAAAUAUUCUUUUUUUUUUGUUCUAAUUCUCGAAACAAUGACUUUUCAAAGUGACCAUAGAACCAUAGAAAAAAAAAUCAUAAAAAGAAGUAUAUCAGCAUUUGAUAAAAAAAAAUAGUAGAAGAAGUAUAUCAGCCAAGCCGCCUGGUCCCAUAACUCUCAACGCUUUUCAUUAGGACGGAAAAGCAGUACUCCAAAUUUUAAAAUUAAGAAUUUUUUUAAUUCAAAUUAAUACAUGUUAAAUUUGAAUAGUAAUAAUUUUAAAGCUUAUAAAUUAGUAUUAAUAGAUGACUAAAUUCCCAACUUCUUCGGUGAUACAUUUUUGUGGUUAUAAUGAAUUAUUAAAAAAAAAAUUGUCGCAUAAAUAUCUAUUCCCUCCGUUUUUUAAUAAGUGUCACUUUAAAAAAUUUCACACAAACUAAAAAAGUGAUUGAAAUGUAUUUAAAUUGUUAUUAAUUACAUUUUUUUGACCAAAAUUAUUUGAGAUAAAUAAAAUUAUUUAUAAAAUCAAUGUAGUUUACAAUUAAUUUUUACCUAAAAGUAAGUAUAAUUUGCAUUAUAAUUAUAAAGUGACACUUUUUGUAUAACAAGAAAAAAUAUUACAAUGACACUUAUCAUAAAACAGAAAUAGUAUUCUAGUAAUAGAAGUAUAUAUUUUUAUUAGUUUUAGCAAAAUUGUUCCUUUUCUGAAUAAAUUUGUCAACAUGGGAUUUUGCGUACAAGUCACUGAAUUGGUAUCAAUAAAGAAAUAUAUCCAAAAACGAUAAAAGGAGUUGUGAACUAAUUUAGUUGUUUUACAUUUGUGUUAGUAGUAGUUUCAUCAUAUCAGUCAAAAUGACACUUAUGUUUGAUAAUUAUUUUAUCAGGAUCAUAUUAAUUAUCUUCUAUAACUAAUAGUCUAAUACCACCAACCGCGGUUCGAUAUUAGGAUCUGACUGGUUCAAACGCAUCGGUUACGGUUGCGGGGGUUUGCGGAUGCGGGUGGUUGUGGUUUCUAACGGUUUUAAGAGAUUUGUACGACUUGUUCUGCGGUUUGAAAUUGGUGCAUUUUCGAGAUACUUGUGACUGGUUAACUAUCAAAUGCAGCAGCGGUUAAAUAAUAAAUUAACAAUAUUUACAUUUUAUAUAAUUAUAAAAAUAUCAAAAUUCAUAAUAUUAUAAUAAAUAUAAAAAUUAUAUUUAGAAAGUUUAGUUUUAAAUUUUUUAAAAUUAUAGAAAUAUUUUUAUUUUAAAAUUUUAAAAUAUUAAUUAAAAUAUAAUAGAUAUAUUUUAGUAUUUUUAUAAUUCCAAUUUAAAAUUUGUAUUUGUAUUUUUGUAUUUAUAUUGUUUUUUUUAAAGAAAAAAAAUUAUCUUCCCGCAACCGUAAACGUUAGUUGGAACCAACUUUUGAAUUUAUGAAGUUUAGAGCAGUUUGAAGGAAUUUAGAGCGGUUUGAGUGAUUGUUGCAAAACGCCAACAACCGCUACCAACCGCAAAAGCUGCGUUUGCGGGUAGCAGGGAAACUAGUCAUACCGUUAGUUAUUGUUUUGUUCCAUCAAGUUUGAUGCUCUCCUUCUCGUUUUAUGAUUUUAACAAAACAUUUUAAAAAGUUUGGUAGUCUCAACUAUACACACACACAUAUAUAUUUUACCCAAUUUUGGUCCAUAAGCUAAAUGGACCAGCAUCGGUCUGGGCAGCGUGACGCGGAGUGUUCGAAGAAAUAGAAGGCCCGAAGAUCGCGUAGUCAAUCCGCUAUAAGAAGAGAUCGAGAGAUACAUAGAAGGACACGUUGAAAACCCUAGAGAGAGCUACACCCAUACUUCGACCUUGUUUUGACCUAGCUUUAGGUAUUUUCUCUUGUCGAUCUCAUUCGUAACGUUCGAUCUCAUUUCAUUCAUUGUAUUCGAUUUUGUUCAUCAAUAAAAUCCAUCUUUGUCUACCGGAAACUGAUUACAUCGUUGUGUUCUAAAGAUAUCGUUGUCUACAUCAUCUUUUCUUCUCUAGAUCAAACUCUCGAUCAUUAUCAAAUACUAUCAAAUACUUAGUGUAGAUUUUAUGAUUUACAAUAUAUAUAUUUAUAUAUAUAUGUAAAUUUAGUUCUCAAAUGGAAGUCCAAAUCUAAAUACUUUUGGUGAUAUAUGAUUAUGAUAGAUACAUUCCCUAAUUUAAACAGUUUCAGUUAACUGGAGGGUGUAUCUAACAGGCAUGAUAGGUAAUGUUAUAUAUGGCUUUAGUGCCUUUAAGAAAUGAAAAGUCUACAACUUAUGUUUAUCUAUGUCCCAGUAAUGUUUGAAAGAUACAUACAUGAGUUUGUACAACAAUUUUUCUUUCUUCUCUUAAUGGUGCAAACUCAAACUUCAAAGUUUUUAUAGAAGUCAUAUUUUGAAUUAUCAUAUUCAUUACAACUAAUUCAAGGAAACCUCAAAUGUCUUUUUCAAAACCAUAAGUAUUAUAAUUAUACAACUGAUUACAAAUUAAACAUUUGUAUAAUUUACAGUCGAACUAAUCACCUGUAAUAAAAUACGUACUAUUUUGAAAAGACACAUUGAUUAUAGAUUGCAUAUUGGGACACAUUCUGAGGCCCGACAAAACUGUCCACGACAAAUAACGAUUAUGUACGUGUUUCCAAGAAAUACUUACAUAUCACAUAUGUUUAUUAGUAUAGACAUUGGUUGAUCUAUCGACGUGUAUUCUUUCUUUUUCAUAUCCUCUGAAAUUACGUGCUUCUCUUUUUAAGUGAUAUUAACAAAAUUACACGUAGUUUAGUAGCUUAGGGGUCGAAUGCAUUUUAAAAAAAAUCAUAUUAAACAAGAAGGCUAUGUUUUUUUUUAUUAACCUAGAGAUAUCGAACCAUGUUGCUUAUGAUUCAUGAAUCCAUCAUGCAAUUGCAAUAUUUCAUGUCUAUCAUAAUCAAGUCUAUGGACAGUAUAUAUUAAUGCUAUUUUUUUCUCUUUUUCCAACAAAUUAUGUUAAGCUAGUCAGUGAUGAUCAUAUCACUCUGUUAGUCCAUGUCAAAAAUCAUUAAUUCCAUUAAUUCCAUUAUAAAUGAAUGUUAAGAGUUUUCACUUCUCCAAAAUUAGUUUAUAUAGAAUUUGAGCAACGUUGUUUUGGAAUUCGUUGAAGAGAGGUUAGGUUUUGUGUUUAAGAAAUACUAUUCAAGCGUUGGAGGCAACACUUUUUUCUACCAUAUUAAACGAUUUUUAACAAAACUUCUAGACUAUAUUUGCGAAGUGAUUUAUACACAUGUCGUCCCUACAAUAAAUUUCGCUGAUAAAAAGAUGACAUGACAAUUAAAAUAAAUGACAUGGUUUUAGAAAAUAGUGACAUGACAUCAUAUUAAUUGCGAGAUGUAAAAUUUUUUUAUAAAAAUUUAAUUUUUUUUGCAGCGAUUUUAAAUAUGGUAAUAAAAAUAACUCAUAUAUCAUCAUUAAUGUCAAUUUUCCAUAUAAAUAUUUAUUUAUGGUAAGCUAUUAAAUAUAUUAAUAAUUCAUAUAUCACAAUUAAAAUAAUAAUAUAUAUGUAUAUAUGUAUCUCACAUUAAUAAAAAUAAACUAAAUAAAGUAACACUAAUCCAAAAAAAUUUGAUAGUUAAAUAUUUAAACAUUAUUUAAAUUUAUCCGUUCAUCUUCAUCAUUUAAAUUAACAUAAAUAUUUUUCAGUUUAUCUAAAACAAACAAAGUCUCAAAUUUAUUAGAAUUUAUAUUUAUAUGUAUAUAUACAUGCAGAAGAUUGUUAUUAUAAGAUUAAUAUAAAAAUCAUAAUUAAGAAAAGAAAAAAAUCGAUUUUAACCUAGGAAGUACCUAACACGUUAAAGAAUGGUCCACGUUAUAUUAUCGUGAGGUCUUUAAAUGCUCUUCUGGAGGCAAAUCUAGUCAAAUAUGUAACCAUUAUUACUCCAAAGCUGUCUUCUUUCGUAGUGGAUCAAAUUUUGGCUACAUUUCAACAAAGGAAUCUAAAUGUAUUAACUAUAUAUGUAAAAUAUUAACAUCAAAGGUAAAUAUUGUCGUGUUAGUUUACAAAUAACCAAACCAGUAUGACGGUGAUACUUUUUGUAAUUUGUUAACGUCUCACCAAGAUAGUCAGCUUUCUUUAAGCAAAAAGAAAAAAAAGAGAUAGUCGGCUUUCAAGCAUAUGUUAAAGAAAUACGAAGUUGUUAAUUUGUCUAUGUCCUAAUCUAGCUGGUUACUUAUCCAAUUCGAACAAAAUAAUUCAACUUUUGUCAUCUAGAUUUUUUUUAUUUAUUGUCAUAUCUUGUUUCUAGACCGAUUUUGUUAAAUAAUUUUAUUUUAUUUUGACGGUAGAUGAACGUUGGCAUUUUAUUCCAUGACCAUCCUCAUAUUUACAAAAGAUCCAUCGUAAUAAUUCCUCUUCUUCUUUUCUUUGUUGUUGUUGUUGUUUAGGUCUCAUGUUAGUUUUUUUUGACAAAAGGGUCUCAUUGUUAGUUACAUAUUAACUUUUUAUUCUCUUGCGUAUUUCACAGUAUAUAACUAAAAGUAAUAGAGGGGAAACGUGUUCUAAACUUAAUCAAAGAAAACGUGAGGCAAAACUCCAAAUCGAAAAUUACAGAAUCACUGACACCGGCAGGAGCAAUAUUCGUAUGUAUGACAGACCACGUUCUCUCUUAUUACAUUUCAAACAAGCCGCCUUGAGUCAACGCGUUAUUUGAUUUUACUCAUAUACUUAUUAAAAGAUACCUUCUGUUAUUUAUUUGAACAAAAUAUAGUGAUUAGAAAACUAACACUUGCAUGAUUAAUUGUAGUUGAUGAAAAGAAAGAUAUAAACGACUGUAGAAAAUGAUGUAAGUUCAAGCUUUAUAUGAACAUCUUACGUACGUUAUUCAAUGUAGGUUUACAUGUUUCAUAUUAGUGUCGAUAUAGGUCCACUAUAGAUGGAAAACCAUAAUAACCAUAAUUGUAUCUUAUUAUAAACACAAACUAAAUUGUGAAGUUUUCGCCUCCAUUGUAAAUUUGGUAUACCUAAUUAAGGAUAUAUAUCCAAUAGAAACUGAUUUCUAGGCUUUGGCCAAUAUUGCGUGAACUGCAAUACUGUUGGUAUACUUCGCAUUCUGAUUAAAGACGAAUAAUUACAUUGAGUUAACAUUAUUUAUACAGAAUAUUGGAUUGAUUACAUUUCGUAACAAAAGUAAAAAUGAAGAAUAGAUGUGGUAACCAUCUUUGACUAGUAGCAACUAGCAAGUAGGUGAGUUCGAGUAACACUUUUCGCUAAAUCUAGCGGUAUGCGAUUAUUGACGUAUAUAUUCAACUCUAUCUGUGAAAAAGAUGUGGCUGGUUUAUUGCCGAAAACAGUUUAUGCAUUAGGAAGAUCAUACUAGCUCAAACUUCAACAAGAUUGGAAAUGGUUAAACUAAGUAACCUCGACUUCGAGUACUCAAAAUGAAUUUUGCAAAUACUUUAUCUAAAGCAUUGAAUGUAAAGAUAUUCAUUUCCCAUUUUUCAUAAGGACUUAUUGAAGGAGCCAAGAAGAAAAUAUCAGAAAAAGAAGAUGCAUAUGUACUUUAACAAAAGAAAAAAAAACAGAUGCAUGUAACCGAAAAAAGAAAAGUAGAAAGAGGGGGAGAAUUUAAUAACUUUGUUGAGUAACAUACAUGAUAAAUCCUAAAUAUAGGGGUUGGACCAUUUUUAUUAAAUUUUGGAUCAUAUCAUGAAAUUAUAUUCGUUGGUUUUAGCUCGACGUUCACAUGGUGGAACAACUACAAAUGUGUAACAUCUUAAAUAUGAACACUCUACAUGUCCUAAAAGUAUAACAUGCUAAAAUAAAAUAUUUUUUCAUGUGUUGUUAGAGUGAUGUUUGAACAUGUAACGUAGUCAGAGACCAUUCUCUUUUGUUUACCGUUUUAACUUAAAGUGACCAUCUAUUUUCUAUCACGACGUUCUACAAGUAUUACUUAUAUGCGUUUAUGGCAUUGUUAUAUAACUGUUCUCAAGUAUAAUGUCUUUAUAAAGAAGUAUCAAAAGGAGCUUUGUAAAAAUCAUAAGGUUUCAGAAAAAAAAGAGACUCUAGAUCCAACGUUAUAAGAAAAUCACGAGUACGUUGUUCGAACAUGGAGAACAUGUCAAUCAUUGACGGCUUAAUAUAUAAUGAUAAUUAAAACUUUAAUUAAAAAAAAAUAAAUAUACAUAAUGAUAGUAAUUAUAACAAUAACGAAAAUCGGAGAGACCAAUAUCAGUUCGUUCUCUAUAAUAUUUAAUAUAUGUUCGUUGUACAGAACUGCUUGUACUUUUUACGUUGCUUAAUUUACAAUUUUUCAGUGAGGUAUAUCAAUGUCAAAAAGUGAAACUGAAAACAGCUAUAUAAAGGGUGUGAGCGAAGACUCUAAGAGCAUAAACCAAAGCAACAAAACAAUCAAUGGGGUCUCCAAUGGCCUCUUUAGUAGCAACUUUGCUUGUCUUGACAAUCUCUCUCACCUUUGUAUCUCAAUCAACCGCUAACUACUUCUACUCUUCUCCUCCACCUCCGGUUAAACACUACCAAUACAAAUCUCCACCUCCUCCUGUUAAGCAUUACUCUCCCCCUCCAGUUUACCAUUCUCCACCACCACCUAAAAAACACUACGAAUACAAAUCCCCUCCUCCUCCGGUCAAGCAUUAUUCUCCACCACCGGUUUAUCACUCUCCACCACCACCAAAAAAGCACUACGAGUACAAAUCCCCUCCUCCUCCGGUUAAGCACUACUCUCCACCACCGGUUUACCAUUCUCCACCACCACCAAAGAAGCACUAUGUGUACAAAUCCCCUCCUCCUCCGGUUAAGCACUACUCUCCACCACCGGUUUACCAUUCUCCACCACCACCAAAGAAGCACUAUGUGUACAAAUCCCCUCCUCCUCCGGUUAAACACUAUUCUCCUCCUCCUGUUUACCAUUCUCCACCACCACCCAAGAAGCACUAUGUGUACAAAUCUCCACCCCCACCUGUUAUGCACUACUCUCCCCCACCAGUCUACCAUUCACCACCACCACCCAAAAAACAUUACGUAUACAAAUCUCCUCCUCCUCCGGUUAAACACUACUCACCACCUCCAGUUUACCAUUCCCCACCCCCACCUAAAAAGCAUUAUGUCUACAAAUCUCCUCCACCACCGGUUAAACACUACUCUCCUCCCCCGGUUUACCACUCUCCACCACCACCAAAGAAACACUACGUGUACAAAUCACCUCCUCCUCCAGUUAAGCACUAUUCUCCACCUCCAGUUUACCACUCUCCACCACCACCAAAGAAACACUACGUGUACAAAUCACCUCCUCCUCCAGUUAAGCACUAUUCUCCACCUCCAGUUUACCACUCUCCACCACCACCAAAGAAACACUACGUGUACAAAUCCCCUCCUCCCCCGGUUAAGCACUACUCCCCUCCUCCAGUUUACCAUUCCCCACCCCCACCAAAGAAACACUACGUCUACAAAUCUCCUCCUCCUCCAGUGAAACACUACUCUCCCCCUCCGGUUUACCAUUCCCCACCACCACCAAAGAAACAUUACGUGUACAAAUCCCCUCCUCCUCCAGUUAAACACUAUUCCCCACCACCGGUUUACCAUUCUCCACCACCACCAAAGAAGCACUACGUCUACAAAUCCCCUCCUCCUCCGGUUAAGCACUACUCUCCUCCUCCGGUUUAUCAUUCCCCACCACCACCUAAGAAAAAGUACGUAUAUAAGUCACCUCCUCCUCCAGUCCACCACUACUCUCCCCCACACCAUCCUUACCUCUACAAAUCUCCUCCUCCUCCAUACCACUAUUAGAAUUCUCUGUCACGGUA
RNAcentral lists this long non-coding RNA (34680 nucleotides) under Brassica napus (rape). Its description in RNAcentral is "long non-coding RNA (BNAP_LNC026112)". The record is from RNAcentral. Lineage: Eukaryota; Viridiplantae; Streptophyta; Magnoliopsida; Brassicales; Brassicaceae.